Molecule: ribosomal RNA, 186 nt
Filed under: uncultured Staphylococcus sp.
Lineage: Bacteria; Bacillati; Bacillota; Bacilli; Caryophanales; Staphylococcaceae
Description: partial 16S ribosomal RNA
Rfam family: Bacterial small subunit ribosomal RNA
Source: RNAcentral
GGACCGGAGCUAAUACCGGAUAAUAUAUUGAACCGCAUGGUUCAAUAGUGAAAGACGGUUUUGCUGUCACUUAUAGAUGGAUCCGCGCCGCAUUAGCUAGUUGGUAAGGUAACGGCUUACCAAGGCAACGAUGCGUAGCCGACCUGAGAGGGUGAUCGGCCACACUGGAACUGAGACACGGUCCAG